AUUGAACGCUGGCGGCAGGCCUAACACAUGCAAGUCGAGCGAGCGGCGGACGGGUGAGUAAUGUCUGGGAAUCUGCCCGAUAGAGGGGGAUAACUACUGGAAACGGUGGCUAAUACCGCAUACCAUCGGAUGUACCCAUAUGGGAUUAGCUUGUUGGUGGGGUAACGGCUCACCAAGGCGACGAUCCCUAGCUGGUCUGAGAGGAUGACCAGCCACACUGGAACUGAGACACGGCCCAGACUCCUACGGGAGGCAGCAGUGGGGAAUAUUGCACAAUGGGCGCAAGCCUGAUGCAGCCAUGCCGCGUGUAUGAAGAAGGCCUUAGGGUUGUAAAGUACUUUCAGCGGGGAGGCGUUACCCGCAGAAGAAGCACCGGCUAACUCCGUGCCAGCAGCCGCGGUAAUAC
This 406-nucleotide ribosomal RNA is filed under the name uncultured bacterium. RNAcentral's name for it is "partial 16S ribosomal RNA". It matches the Rfam family "Bacterial small subunit ribosomal RNA", at positions 30 to 526 of the family's 1533-position model. The record is from RNAcentral.